Molecule: ribosomal RNA, 233 nt
Filed under: uncultured bacterium
Lineage: Bacteria
Description: partial 16S ribosomal RNA
Rfam family: Bacterial small subunit ribosomal RNA
Source: RNAcentral
CCUACGGGAGGCAGCAGUAAGGAAUAUUGGUCAAUGGGCGCAAGCCUGAACCAGCCAUGCCGCGUGCAGGAAGACGGCCCUAUGGGUUGUAAACUGCUUUUGAACAAGAGAAAACCUCGGUACGUGUACCGAGCUGAUAGUAUUGUUAGAAUAAGCAUCGGCUAACUUCGUGCCAGCAGCCGCGGUAAGACGAAGGAUGCAAGCGUUAUCCGGAUUCAUUGGGUUUAAAGGGU